Molecule: long non-coding RNA, 596 nt
Organism: Equus caballus (horse)
Lineage: Eukaryota; Metazoa; Chordata; Mammalia; Perissodactyla; Equidae
Source: RefSeq, a predicted model, not a curated record
GGUGGGGCUCACGGCGGGUGUGCGGAGUGGGCGGGAAAACGUGGAGCCCGGGGAGAGGCCCCGCUGGGAGUUCUAGUUAGGCUUUGACAGUUGAUGACACCGGAAACUCCGACUGUGAGUGAACUCUCCGAGAGCGGGGAGACCUUGACUGGAUCUUCUGCCGCUAGCAUGGGGCCUGGCAGCUAGUGGUCAUAAUGAAAGCUGGCAUUUGAUGGUGAAGCACCAGGCAUGGCGCUCAAUGCUUUACACAUAGUAAAUCAUUUAAUCUGCAUGACAACUUGAGGAGAUGGCUUGUUCUAGAGGAGGCCAUGUCUUGAGCAUCCCUGUGGAGAAGUCAACGUGGCAAGGAACUGAAUCCUCCUGCCAACAGCUGUGUGAGUGAGCUUGCUGUGAGCGGACCCUUCAGCCCCAGUUACAGCCUUCACGUGUCUACAGCCUUGGCUGACUUCCUGACUACAAACUCCUGUGAGACCCUGAAGCGGGCCACCCAGCUAAGCAGCCUCCUGAUUCCAGACUCUCAGAAACCGUGUGAGAUAAUAAAUGUUUGUUGUUUUAAGCCAUUAUGUUUUAGGAGUUAUUUGUUUUGUAGCUAUAAA